GGCUGGCCAGCGCCAUGGGGCUUUGAAACAUGGAUUUCCCAACUUUGACGUGAUGGGAGCAAAAGCUGCUGGAGGCACAGAACCCUGGUCCUUCUGUUUCAUUGGUGGCUUUCUGAAUUCCAAUAUGGCACUUAUUUUGAUGCUGCUUGUGCUACCACUGACUUGUCUCACGGAGAGUCUGCUUUGGAAAUUUCAUGAUUGACGUUUCCAAAUGCUACUAUCUGCUGGAUUUGGAUACCACAGCUGAAACCCCAAGGGAGCCAAGAUACUCCUCCAACGAAGAGGAGUGGGUAACCAUUGCCUACAAGCCAUUCCUAGAUACCUCCAGGUAUGUUUUACAUGUUUGAAAGGGAAUGCGAAAGUGUGACAGAUCUGUGAACUAUUUUCACGCAACAAUCAGCUUACAAUAGUAGUUAUACACAGCAAGGAAAGAAAUGUUGGCAAAUGCCAGCUUGAAAUCCAAUUUCCAGUAAAGGCAGCUUGCUGGCUACGGUAGAGCCACUGUCAAACUUGUAUGUGCACCUAGGUUGCUUUAGAGGAUGAAGCAAGUCAGGAAGAGUGGGGAACAAGGAUUAUUUUACAUCUUGUUGAUGUAAUGUUUUUUGUUUUCCUUUCUAAAGAAAUAAGGUGUAUGUCAUCUCUUCCAGUAGACUUCUGAAUCUUGUUUCAGCCAAAUUCAGUAGACAGGUGUAAGUCAGUCCCAAAGAGUGAACUCUCAGAAGUUUCACAAAAGCUGGCAGAAGAAGAGAGGAGGCAGCCACAGUGGGUGAAAGUGAUCAAGGUCGCACCUUUAUUAGACAUGGAGAAGUCCUGUAACAGACCCCUGUCAGAAUCCAGGUUUUCAUUAGUUCUGCUGCUCUCUUAGUAACUUGUUAGUGUAUUUGACAAAGAAUUUUUUUGAGAAGCAAAGGUUGCAAUUGCCAUCCUCCAGGCUAACAGUGGGAUCCAGCUUGUCAAACUAGGAGAGUUUUUAACGCAUCCCUACGAAAACAAACCCUCAGCUAUUUGGGGAUGGUUUUUCCACUGUUUCAAGCUUUGGCCAUGCAGUUGUCAUAUCAGGGCAGAGUGGUUGACUGGAAAAGUCUCUUAAACAAACAAACACUAACAGAGUUCAGUGCCUUCCUGUUUUCUAUAUGAGACCUUAUUAUUUCCUCCUAAUAGAUCCCUCCAGGGAGUGGGGCUGGUGAAAGCAGUUGGACAGUGAGAAAGAGUGAUAUUAUGCUUUUCCCAGGGGUUGCUGUAAUGUUCCCAGCUUACUGACACAAACAAGUCUCCUGGCAUGGCUUUUCAUGAACUGUGCUUGUCUGAAGACCUGCUGUUAUGUUAGAGCACAACUUCAGGAGAGGA
This 1347-nucleotide long non-coding RNA is filed under the name Numida meleagris (helmeted guineafowl). RNAcentral's name for it is "lncRNA (ENSNMEG00000012048.1)". The record is from RNAcentral. Lineage: Eukaryota; Metazoa; Chordata; Aves; Galliformes; Numididae.